Papaver somniferum (opium poppy) is the source of this 4859-nucleotide long non-coding RNA. RefSeq lists it as uncharacterized. The record is from RefSeq and is a predicted model, not a curated record. Lineage: Eukaryota; Viridiplantae; Streptophyta; Magnoliopsida; Ranunculales; Papaveraceae. The transcript has 8 exons.
GUAAUUGAUUUUUUGUACUGAUUUCAGAAAUUUUUGUAAUGAUUUCUGAAAUUGAAACCUACGAUUUGAUAUUUGGGGGUAGAUUAGAGGGUUUUUCAGUAUUUAGUGUUUAAUUUAUACAAUUGAAGUAGUUCAAAGGACAAAGGUUGUUGUGUUAUCGUGCUAAGAAAUACUAAUUUAUCAAUUUCUUAUAUGAUAUCUAGGGUUCGGAUUCGUGUUUUUUGCUUCGAAUUAUUGAUUAUUCUUAAUUCAAUUUGUUUCUGCAAUUUUGUGAAUGAGUUUUUUCAAUUUUUCGGGUAAUACGAAUUCUGAUAGAUUGGUUAACAACCUGGGGACAAUGGCAUUCAAUAUGCAGAACAGAAGUUAGCUUACUAGGUUUACAGUGUUUUUAUUAGUUCCUUACACAUAACAUUUAGCAACGUUUGUUGAUUACAUCUAUGGGUCAUGAAUGUUUACUACACAAGUUUUAACAUCUGUAAAUAUGUGGAAUUGAAGACUAUAGGAUUCAGUUCAGGAUUGUCGAAAAAUCGUUCCGUCCGCAACUGUGUAUAGCAGCAUAUCUGGAGCUAGCUCUUCUUCUUUGUUUUUUCUUCUGUAAGAUGCAAAAUACUCUUUUGUGCCCGUAUUUAAGGCUUAAGUUUUUUGGUUGUAAUAUGUUUAUCAUGACUUACGAGGUGUUGUUAACCAAAAAACACCAUAUUAAACUUUUAAUUUUUUAGAAACACCUUAUGAAUUGUCAGCUUGGAAGAGAUGAAGCUUUGUCCACAUCUCUGGCUACGUGGAUUCAUUCCCAUGUCUUCUCAGUUCUUUGGAGUAGAAGGUGGUUAGUACAGAGUUCGGUUUGCCUCAGAUCCAUAUAGGUUCUGGCUGAUGUUCUUAUACGCGAAACUUGAUAGGUUUCUCGCUGAAGUCAGCGAUGAAAAUGGUUCACUUGAUGCUGCAUCCAGUGACAGAGUCUGCAAGAUCAGGCUUCACUUUCAGAAGGAUCAUAAGUGUUAUUCAUGAGAUUCUGAGUGAAUAGACAAACUGUUAAACAAGAGGGAGUUUACUGCCAUCGAAGAUGUGAGUUGUUGCCGUUGAUUUGAGAGAUGAACGGAGGGAAUUUGAAGAGAUGUUUUGGAGUUCCGACGAGUCUAGGAAACAUGGGUUUGUGAAGGAGAUGAAUGUGCUUAGCUUAGAUAUAACAUAAUGCACACCUCUGCACUUUUAGAAACACGCCCAUCAAGUGCUCGACAGAGACUCUAGCCGUUGAUUUGAGAGAUGAACAGAGGGAAUUUGAAGAGAUGUUUUGGAGUUCCGACGAGUCUAGGAAAAAUGGGUUUCUGAAGGAGAUGAAUGUUCUUAGCUUAGAUAUAACAUAAUGCACACCUCUGCACUUUUAGAAACACGCCCAUCAAGUGCUCGACAGAGACUCUAGCCAGUUCUGCCCCAGCUUUGUGCAGGUUUGAGCCAUGUUGAAGAGCAAAGGAAACAGAGCAUACUUCGACACGGACAAUGAAGAAUAUCCCUCAACAAGAGGACUGACCGGUGGUUGACGUCAAUGCUAAGAAACAAAUUCCUUUUUAAGAAGGACAAAACUCUAAGUAAGCUGAUAUCUUAACUAUGACUUCACUUCAAAGAACCUAUUGUAUUGUAGGGGCAGUCUGGAGAAGACACAACAAUAUUAAUUACAAUAUCUAAUUCAGGUAUUAGUCUAGGUUAUUACUUUUGAUGGUCUCUGCUUGGAUUUCUCUGUCGAUGGAAUUAUUUAAACCGAAAUUUUGAUCCAUGCUUUUUCUAUUUUACCUUGGAAGAUAUAGUUCGAAUGAUAUGACAGGUUCCCUAUAUGGGUAUCUCUUAAACCUUGAGGUAGAAGAUCACAAUGGACCGGUUGUUUUAUUUCUUUUGGUGGAACUUCCGAAUAGAUCAUCCGAAAGAGAGUUCGAGAGCUUAUGGAGAAAUCUGAUAGCGUAUGUAUGAAAAUCGUCACAUUAUUCAAUCAAUUGAUUGCUGAAUAUUGGUUUGUACACGUGAAAACGAAGCCUAUAAUGUACCUGAAAAAUAUACAUCAUGCACAUCAUCCAUAAUGUCACUCAUCUUUUCAUCUUAAGGUCUCCACAUAUCCACGUAUCCGGUUGUUGUAUUUCUUUUGGCGGAACUUCCGAAUAGAUAUAACUCUAAAUUUUUCAUCUGUUUUCAUAGUUAUAUUUUUUUGGGUUCUUACCUCUUGGCAAGCUGUGUUCAUAUCUCAUACAUCACUCCUUUAAAUCGGUCUAAAUUGGAAUUUAGGAUUACCAUUGUUUCAUAGAAUGUCAAGGCCUUCAAUCCCAUUUGCAUUAUUGAAGUGUUCUCCGGCUGACAAGCACAUGCUAAAUGUGGUUCACAUUAUAUCCUGCUAAUCCCAUCUAUCACUCUUUGACACUUAAAAUUAAUUCCUCUUGGCAAGAUGGUUGAUGUGUUGGUCUUAGUUGGAUGCGGAUGAAAACCAAAAUUUUACUAUUUAACAGGACUUAAUUUAUUCACAGUUAUAUGUAUAUGAUCCGAAUAACGCUCUGGAUUUUCGUGCGAAAUGAAAUCCCUAGCUGAAGAGAUGCUCUUUCCUCUGCUCCUUUGUCUCUGAAAGUGUAAAGCUAUUGGCAGAUCAGUGGAGCGCGAAGUACAAUGAAUGGUAGCCGCUCUAAUUUCGAAUUAAUCGUCGGGUAAACCACUUUGGUUUUCUUAUAUUUGGUUUUAAACUUUUUUGGUGGAUUUGCUGCGAGUAACAUAACACUAUACAUAACCAAAAGCAAGUUAACUAUUAUAGCAACAAAUAUAUUAAUAUAACACCACUUGGCAAUAGUCGCAGGUAUGGUUGAAUUCAAGCUUUAGCUUUUCGAAAGUCUUAGAUGGCAAUGGGUUCAGAAUAAGAUGGGAUACAAUCUCACAUCGCUAAUGCUCUACACAGACCGUAGAGGAAGGAACUAUCAUUAAACAGAUGGGGUUAGUGUAUGUAUAUCUAAUCUGCCCUGAUUUGGGAAGCGGUGAUAUUAGAUGUAUAAAUACUAACCCAAUAUCAGUUAAAAAUAGUAAUCAAUUACUCCCUGCGCCCCCUUUUAGAUGAAGGGAAGGGUUUUUUUCAAAUCUCAAAUUACAUGAAGGUGUUCAUAAUUUUCACCAUGAAUCUUUCUGAUUUAUCCCUACCUUGGAAUCAUAUACGAAUAUAAAAUAUUGUGUUAGUCUAAUUUCCCAAAAUAAAAUUCUUAAACAAUUCACUAGAUUCCAAAUUUACUCUAGAAUGCAGGAAUUAAAAAUUAAAGACUUUAAUACUUUUGGAAUUAUUAAUGAGGGUAGAUUUGGAAAAAUUUUAAUCUCUUUCUUUUUUCUUAAUCUGUGUGAAAACACCUAUCCCUUCAUCUAAACAGGGACGGAGGGAGUACGUACUUGUCCUGGAUUGUGUAGGUUGUCGUGUUGCUAAUAUAAGCUGUGUUUCAAGAAAAUUUGGGUCGUCUCUUAUACUGCUAAGUUUUGUGUGGCUUUGACACGGUGUUUGAAUGUAUAAGUUUGGAUGGACAUCUGUAUGAUUCUAAAAUGUCAUCAAAUUGAUCAUCAUCAUUUGUAAGUUCAAUAUGGUUAGCAUGGACAUCUGCGUUCAUACUUAAAUUUCAUAUGUGCAAAUUAUUUUGGAUGUCAUGUCGUUGCAGAGUUUCUCUGACAGCUCCAAUGAUUGUGAUAACCUGAUGAGUGACGCAUGUUUCAAUUGAUGGUAGUACCACAACAAAGGGAAGGUACAAUAUUCAUUUGUUUCAGUAUUGUUAUGUUAGCUAUUGGCCAACCUUUUCUAUCCCUGAUGACCAAGAAAUAGUUUAGUUACAAGGCUAAAACUCAUGAAAAAAUAGUUGGUGGAAGCCUAAGUAUACUUAUGUUUCUCCUUCUACUCCAAGGUUUGAUCUUUGAAUCGAUUACAAGAUUUUAUUCAUGUGUAGAAGUAGUCGUUGAUGUGGUGAUUGUUUAAUUUUGCGGUUAUUAUUUUUUACUUGAGCUUGCAAUUUGAACAUUACUCAUAUGUUUAGUACUCCUUAAAUUGUUGUUUGUUGUUGGGUUGCUUCAAAUAAAACUUACUGCACCAACAUAAGUGGCGAGCCACUGAGAUUCUUCUUUUCUACAAGACUGCGGAGGUUCCCAGCAGUUUUUACGACAUCAAGCAUGGAGAUUUGCAGAAGAUACAAAGCUCAAUGAGGACAGACUUCUCUUGUAUGACCAAGAUGGUGUGGAAAAAACUUAAAGUAUAGACGUUUUAAACAUUUUGGAUGGUGUUUUUGUCUAAAAAUCCCUCAUAUAUCAAAGCACACAAUACCAUCUGCGAAACUAUCAAGAGGGAUUAUCACAGCUUCGAUGAUGAAGAUUUAUAUCAACAUACCGACAUCAGCUGUCGAACUCCCCAAAAGCACAUACUCUAAAAGUUAGGCCUUCUUCCUUUGUCUUCUCGAGGGUUCCUAUCUAAGGCAUAAAGGCAGUGGAAAAACAGGGCAUGUCAAUGGCACGACAAAGAAUUCUAGGUUAAACAUAACAUCAGUUCUCAGUACGGGAGAUUGGUAGAGGCAUGUGACAACCUCUUUAAAUAGCUUCAUUACUCUCAGUUUUCAUUGGGAAGUUCGAAUGUCAGUUGAUCUUAGCCACAAACCUCAGCAGCAAGCCUUCUGUUUCAAAUUUUUACAAACAGGUUUUGUCAUACCAAAUUCCUAAUCUGAUAAUUGUAUCUUUUUGGUUCUUCUCAAUUUUGUUUUUCUUUAUAGGGUUUUCUACAAUUGUAGAAUAUGCUUGAUGAUUUGUGUUAAUGGAUCAUAGCAUGUUACUAUUUAUUAUAUCUCCAGUAAUCUAAAUCCUCUGAAAGUUAUGCACAA